Molecule: RNA transcript, 2554 nt
Organism: Frieseomelitta varia
Lineage: Eukaryota; Metazoa; Arthropoda; Insecta; Hymenoptera; Apidae
Gene name: glycosyltransferase 25 family member
Exons: 8
Source: RefSeq, a predicted model, not a curated record
AUUAAGUAAAAUAAAAAUAGGAUAUAAAAUUUUGAAAAUACCGAAUAUUGAGAUUAUCUAAAUGUUUAAAGAGUUAUAUUGCAUACUAAUUAAAUUCAAAAUUUUCACUUAUAAAUCUUGAUAUUGGUAAUUCAAUAAUGUAUUUUGUACAGUAUGUAUCCUUAUUCUUAAUAAAUGCAAAUCUCAAAUUUUAAGAUGAAUGUAAUACAAAAUACUAGAUGACAUAACCUUUUUUUUCUAUUAAGAGAAACAUUUAGUAAGUAGUUAUUUUUGUAUGCUUAAAAUGUUCAAGUUAUUGUUGCGUAUUUGUGCCAGAAAAAAACGAUAUGUUACACAUUACAAUAAUAAGCAUUGUUUGCAUACAAAAAUUGAGGAGUCUGAAAUGUUGAUUGUAUCUGUCUCACAUUUAAAACAACUUCUCAAGCAACAAUGUUCAAAUGUUAUCGAAGGAUACACGUGCAUUAUAACAGAUUGCCCUAUAUGUACUAAUGAAAAAAAGAAAUCAAAGCUUUAUGUAAAUAAAACAACAGGAUUUUUUAUGUGUGAUAAAUGCAAGUCUACAGGUUCUUGGGAUAUGUUAAAUAAAUUUUUAUCGAAGAAGCCAAAUGAAAAUCUUGAAGAACUUGAUAUGUUGAAAAAGAAAUGUCGCUUAAAAGACAAUUUUGAAAAAACCUGGGAAUGCAUGACACGUGAUUGUCAAAGCAUCAAGGAUCUAUCUGUUGAAGAAUAUGAAAUUCUGCUCAAUAAUUUUUCACUUCCUAAUGUUUCGCAACAAGAUAUGUCUCAACUAAAUUGUUUCUACAACAAAACCAAGAAUGUCUUGUAUUUUCCAUUAGUAGGAUUGAACAAUUCUAUAGUUGGAUAUAAAUCACUUUUAACUAAUCCACAAAGAGAACAAACAGUUCCUGUCUCUGACGUUAGUGGAUGUAUUGAAUAUAAGCGCUCUCAUAGCAAAACUGAUAAUACUGCCAUAGUCGUGGGAAUGAUAGAUGAUUUGUUAGCUGUAAUAUCGAAGAAAUGUACAAAUCUAAUUAUAUGUCUUCCAUACAACUUGAAACAACUACCACAACAAUUGUUACCAUACAUGGAAUCCUUCAAGAAAUUAAUUUUAUGGUUUGGGAAUGAUGAAACAAGUUGGUAUACUGCUAAGAAUUUUGCAAAAAAAUUUAAUGAAAAACGUUGUUACUUUGUUAGACCAAUAGACUCACAACCUCGACCAAAGUUUGCUGUUGAAAAGAAUUAUAACUUUAAUACUAUUCUUGAAAAUGCUCAACCUGUAUGGCAUAAAAGUAUAAUUACUUUUCAAGAACUUAGAGAAGAAGUAUUAAGUGAUUUACAAAAUAAUGAUAAAGUACAAGGAAUAAAAUGGAAACGAUAUCCAGCUUUAAAUCGUAUAUUGAAAGGUCAUAGGAGAGGUGAACUUACUAUAUUGACUGGACCAACUGGAUGUGGUAAAACAACUUUUGUGAGCGAUUAUUCCUUAGAUUUAGCAAUGCAAGAUGUAAAUACCUUAUGGGGUAGCUUUGAAAUAAGAAACACACGAUUAGCAAGAACAAUGCUGCAACAAAUGGCAGGUGUACCUUUGGAUGAAAAUCUUGAAAAGUUUAAUUCAUAUGCAAGUGCUUUUGAAAAGUUGCCAAUUUAUUUUAUGACAUUUCAUGGCCAACAAAGUAUUAAAAUAGUGAUGGACGCAGUUGAACAUGCAACAUACGUACACGACAUAGCACAUGUCAUAAUUGAUAAUGUUCAAUUUAUGAUGGGAACAAGUAGUGAUUCAAGAAAUGUAGAUAGAUUUUGGAAACAAGAUCAAAUAAUAGCGAAAUUUAGGAAUUUUGCUACCAUGUACAAUUGUCACGUAACCAUGAUAAUACAUCCACGAAAAGAACGUACUGAAGAACUAACAACUCAAUCAAUUUUCGGAAGUGCAAAAGCAACCCAGGAGGCAGAUAAUGUCCUGAUUAUUCAGGAUAUGAGACUCACCAGUAUUCGGGGCAAAAAAUAUUUGCAAAUAGCUAAAAACAGGUAUAGCGGUGACUUAGGUAUUAUGACGUUAGAGUUUGAUAACUCAAGUCUUAGUUAUGCAUCACGGCCAAAAGGUAAAGAAAAAAGCAAAAAAACAGGAUCCUUAGAAAAAGAAAAGGAUGAGUAAUGAAAUAAUUUGAUAAAAAAGGGGAUAUAUUUUUCAAAAUAUUUUCACGCCAAAAUAUUUCACUCAUGAUUCGGCUCUUGAAACUAUUGAAAAUGUUUCUAUUGUUUUCAACGACAUGGAAAACUAUUAAGGAAAACAUUACUUUAUUGUUUGAACGUUUAUAUCUCCUGCAAAGAUACCAAUAUCUGUGUAUAGAAAAUGAAGGCAGUUUACCACUUUACCGACUAUGUGCUUCUCACGUGGGCACAGAUGUGGGUGGCAAAAACUGAUAAUAAAUAUCAUGGUGAAUGCAGAAGGCAAACGUAUAUACAACGCUCUUAAUAAUUGUAUUUCUUAUUGUAUUUUUUAUCGCGAAUAACUAAAUGAUUAAGGAUAGAAGGAAAUACUAACGAAUAUAGAAACGAA